RNAcentral lists this small RNA (169 nucleotides) under human gut metagenome. RNAcentral's name for it is "Clostridiales-1 RNA". It matches the Rfam family "Clostridiales-1 RNA". The record is from RNAcentral.
GAUAUCAGGGUCAAAAGGUCAGAAAUCUGAAACAAGCUUACUUGCAAAAGGAUUUUUGACCUUGGAACCCGCCAAAAACAUGAAUAAGCAGCCAUUUUUCGUAGAAAAAUGAGCGAAUUAUGAAUGUUUUUGAGGAUUGCGAGAGUGCAAAGCACGAAGCAAUCCGGUA